RNAcentral lists this ribosomal RNA (640 nucleotides) under Variovorax sp. EECC-543. RNAcentral's name for it is "bacterial SSU rRNA". It matches the Rfam family "Bacterial small subunit ribosomal RNA", at positions 98 to 734 of the family's 1533-position model. The record is from RNAcentral. Lineage: Bacteria; Pseudomonadati; Pseudomonadota; Betaproteobacteria; Burkholderiales; Comamonadaceae.
GCGAACGGGUGAGUAAUACAUCGGAACGUGCCCAAUCGUGGGGGAUAACGCAGCGAAAGCUGUGCUAAUACCGCAUACGAUCUACGGAUGAAAGCAGGGGAUCGCAAGACCUUGCGCGAAUGGAGCGGCCGAUGGCAGAUUAGGUAGUUGGUGAGGUAAAGGCUCACCAAGCCUUCGAUCUGUAGCUGGUCUGAGAGGACGACCAGCCACACUGGGACUGAGACACGGCCCAGACUCCUACGGGAGGCAGCAGUGGGGAAUUUUGGACAAUGGGCGAAAGCCUGAUCCAGCCAUGCCGCGUGCAGGAUGAAGGCCUUCGGGUUGUAAACUGCUUUUGUACGGAACGAAACGGCCUUUUCUAAUAAAGAGGGCUAAUGACGGUACCGUAAGAAUAAGCACCGGCUAACUACGUGCCAGCAGCCGCGGUAAUACGUAGGGUGCAAGCGUUAAUCGGAAUUACUGGGCGUAAAGCGUGCGCAGGCGGUUAUGUAAGACAGUUGUGAAAUCCCCGGGCUCAACCUGGGAACUGCAUCUGUGACUGCAUAGCUAGAGUACGGUAGAGGGGGAUGGAAUUCCGCGUGUAGCAGUGAAAUGCGUAGAUAUGCGGAGGAACACCGAUGGCGAAGGCAAUCCCCUGGAC